AUUUCCCGCUCUCAUCUUUGUUUUCUCUCCCUUUUCCCGUUUUUCUCUCCACUGAUUCUCCACAGCUGGGUGAAGACCACGGUCGGCUUCAACCGGGCCAAUCGAGGGCGACGUCGCAGACCUUAUCAAAGACGUCUCCACAGCUAGGUGGAGACCACCUUCGCCGUCAACCGGGAUCAAAGACGUCUUCACAGGUGGGUGGAGACCACCAUCGGCGUGAACCGGGCCAACCUCCUCCAAGCCGACGUCUUGACCUCAUCAAAGAAGUCUCCCUCAAGGACCGCGAGCUCAGGAUUGUGGGCGAGGUCGGUGCCAAGAUCCGAGUCUUAGACUUCAUUUCUCCCGAUGUCCAGGUUCUAAAUUUAAUGGUUUAAAAACCCGAAUUGAAGACGUAGCUGGAAGAAGAAGAAGAGGGCGUGUAGUACUAAGGAAAAGAAAGCUGAGAAGGACACAAUUGUUUGUUACUCAAAAGGCGCUUGUAUCCUAAUUAUUUGGCGAGUUCUAUAUAAAGGGAAAAAAAUGAGCGAACGCGAUGGUCUUGAAGUUGUUCGAAAUCCAAAGAGGCCUAUCGGCGCUUGGAUACAUUACUAGUAAGGGAAAAUAGAAAUAUGUAAAAUAAUAUGUUUUUUAAUGUAUUUUUUGUGGUUGUUAUUGUUAAAUUUG
Molecule: long non-coding RNA, 663 nt
Organism: Vitis riparia (riverbank grape)
Lineage: Eukaryota; Viridiplantae; Streptophyta; Magnoliopsida; Vitales; Vitaceae
Exons: 3
Source: RefSeq, a predicted model, not a curated record